GAUGAACGCUAGCGGCAGGCCUAAUACAUGCAAGUCGAACGGGUGGUCGCAAGACCACUAGUGGCGCACGGGUGCGUAACGCGUAACCAACCUGCCCCGAUCUGGGGGAUAGCCCGCCGAAAGGCGGAUUAAUACCGCAUAUACCCGCAGCCUGGCAUCAGGCAACGGGGAAAGAUUUAUUGGAUCGGGAUGGGGUUGCGUGACAUUAGCUAGUUGGCGGGGUAAGGGCCCACCAAGGCGACGAUGUCUAGGGGACCUGAGAGGGUGAUCCCCCACACUGGCACAGAGAGACGGGCCAGACUCCUACGGGAGGCAGCAGUAGGGAAUAUUGGGCAAUGGGCGAGAGCCUGACCCAGCCAUGCCGCGUGCCGGAUGAAGGCCUUCUGGGUUGUAAACGGCUUUUCUCAGGGAAGAAAAAGACCUUGCGAGGUACACUGACGGUACCUGAGGAAUAAGCACCGGCUAACUCCGUG
RNAcentral lists this ribosomal RNA (473 nucleotides) under uncultured bacterium. RNAcentral describes it as "partial 16S ribosomal RNA". It matches the Rfam family "Bacterial small subunit ribosomal RNA", at positions 28 to 507 of the family's 1533-position model. The record is from RNAcentral.